CCCACAUAUAAAUGUGCCUGAGAUAUUUUAGAGUUCAGUCUCUUAAAACAAUAAAAGAAGCAGCUACAUUUUAUUUUAAUCUUUAAAAACAAGAAAUAAGUUAUUAGCUUAAGAGCUACGUUUAGUUUAAUUUAAUAACCCACGGUUCUAGUGUAAAAAGGGUUAAAUCCCGGGUGAGCUGAAGGCAUCACUCUCAGCCAAUGAGCUGCGGCUAAAUGCUGCAUGUCCCGCCCAUCUUCUCUGUCUCGGACUGCAGGCCCUCGUUAGUUCUUUUCGGCUGCAGAACACGAUCAGAACACCAGCGGAGAAAGUAGGCACGGCGUUUCGGAAAAAAAAAGAGGUACAAAAUGAAGUGUUAGAUGUCUUUGCGAAUGUUAAACAUAAUUUUAUGCAUGUUUACUCCUAAAGAGCCAUAGGUUAAAAGAUAUUUAUUAGUUUCGGUUCUUUUUACACUUCUAGUUGUAGAAGGCCAGAGCUUAGAGGCGGCGCCAUUUUAUGCUGUUGUGCUGCCCAUUCGUGGAAUCGGUCAGGUUUUUUGUGACAUAUGAACAUUCUGAUGUUGAUGGCGAGCCAGUCCCGUGGAUGAACCAGAUCAGCAGCGACUUCCUCCAUCCUUGCUGCACGGUGGAGUGUGGUAGGAGUGAAAAAAAAAAGAAAAAAACCAAAGGGAUCCCACCACGCCAAUUCCCUCUCCUUGCAUCUUUUACGUACACCUACAUAUUCCCUUGGACUCUUGGACAUCCCGCCUUAUUAUUUAGGACUAUUUUCUUUUUGUUUUGGACUAUCCACAUCGUUACACGAGGACUGAUUUGGUGUGUUUCAGGUCGGAGCCAUUCCAACAAAAGUUGAGGUUUUGUUGCAGGAAGCUGAAAAUUUUACCCUGUCAGACAGACAUUGUAUGUUGAACUGGUACUGAUCCAAUCUGAAAGAUUGAGUUACUAAAAAGGGUGCACCCA
Molecule: non-coding RNA, 956 nt
Organism: Nothobranchius furzeri (turquoise killifish)
Lineage: Eukaryota; Metazoa; Chordata; Actinopteri; Cyprinodontiformes; Nothobranchiidae
Source: RefSeq, a predicted model, not a curated record